Long non-coding RNA from Sceloporus undulatus (fence lizard), 950 nucleotides. RefSeq lists it as uncharacterized. NCBI's taxonomy places the organism in Eukaryota, Metazoa, Chordata, Lepidosauria, Squamata, Phrynosomatidae. The transcript has 3 exons. The record is from RefSeq and is a predicted model, not a curated record.
CAGAAAGUGAACAGACAUUCAGCACGUUUAUACCUACAAAGCAGGAAUGCUAAACUUUGGCAAGCUGGUUAUUUCUUUUCCAGAAAGGCGAAAACACAUGUGCACAACCCUUUCCAUGUCAUUCUUGUGGUGCUGUGCAUCACACAUUUCAGUGGAAAUUGGAUAAUACUUUCCUCUGCAAGAAUUACAGGAAACAUGCCAGGAACUUUUAUUCCCCGAUUCAACGACCUGGAAUCAACACAGCAGGCUAAGUACUUCCCGGGCUAAGUACUUCCUUGCUGGUAUCUUACACAAAGAAAAUGAACAGAAGAGAAAAUAUGAGCUGCAAUAAUACAACUAAAAUUCAAAUGAGGAAUUAUGAAUAGUGAUGAGCAAACUGACCCUGUCAUAAUUUUCAGUUUGUUCACCAAGCUACAAAUCUAACAUUGUAAACUAAGACAAACAUUUUACCUUAUGAAGUUUUGAAGUAUCUUCCAAAGCUGGUGCAUGCACAUCACCAAAGUACACCCUGGAAAUAUGGUUUAACCACAGAUGAGUAGCACUAUAAGACAGAAAUGUGGGAAGAACCCAAGGUACCUCUUUGGUUCAUGCCAAUGGAGUAUGGGCUGUGGGUCAGUCCUGUGGAUACAUGACUGCCAUGUUAUGUAUCAACAGCAAUCAAACAAAGAUACCUGAUGGUCUUAUAUUUCAGGAGGGGGCCACAGCCAUAAUAGAGUGGCCAGUGAUCAUAAUGUUCCCAUAGCAGCAGCAGCAGCAAACUACGUGAAAAAGAAGUGAAGUUACCACAGAGCUCAACCCAGAAACUUUAUUCUUUGUUAAAUGGACUCUGAAAAAGGCACAGCCUUAAUAGGUUUUUCUCAUUCAAGCAUGACUAUGUAAAAUAUGAGCUGUGAUACAUACAGUACUCAGUGCCCUAUCUGUAUUCAGACACAAAAUACUUGGGAUCAUGG